AUUGAACGCUGGCGGCAUGCCUUACACAUGCAAGUCGAACGGUAACGGGCCUUCGGGUGCCGACGAGUGGCGAACGGGUGAGUAAUACAUCGGAACGUGCCCGAUCGUGGGGGAUAACGAGGCGAAAGCUUUGCUAAUACCGCAUACGAUCUACGGAUGAAAGCAGGGGACCGCAAGGCCUUGCGCGGACGGAGCGGCCGAUGGCAGAUUAGGUAGUUGGUGGGAUAAAAGCUUACCAAGCCGACGAUCUGUAGCUGGUCUGAGAGGAUGAUCAGCCACACUGGGCCUGAGACACGGCCCAGACUCCUACGGGAGGCAGCAGUGGGGAAUUUUGGACAAUGGGCGCAAGCCUGAUCCAGCCAUGCCGCGUGCAGGAUGAAGGCCUUCGGGUUGUAAACUGCUUUUGUACGGAACGAAAAGCCUUCUUUUAAUACAGGAGGGUCAUGACGGUACCGUAAGAAUAAGCACCGGCUAACUACGU
This 481-nucleotide ribosomal RNA is filed under the name uncultured bacterium. RNAcentral describes it as "partial 16S ribosomal RNA". It matches the Rfam family "Bacterial small subunit ribosomal RNA", at positions 30 to 506 of the family's 1533-position model. The record is from RNAcentral.